RNAcentral lists this ribosomal RNA (1590 nucleotides) under Hemiprocne comata. Its description in RNAcentral is "16S ribosomal RNA". It matches the Rfam family "Bacterial large subunit ribosomal RNA", at positions 435 to 2837 of the family's 2925-position model. Lineage: Eukaryota; Metazoa; Chordata; Aves; Apodiformes; Apodidae. The record is from RNAcentral.
AGCCCAACACUAGCCCAACCACCACCCCCAGACAAAACUAAAAAUUCACUCCAAACUCCAAUCAAAACAUUCUAAGAGCUUAGUACAGGCGAUAGAAAAGCAUUUAUCUGGCGCAAUAGAGAUCCCCGUACCGUAAGGGAAAGAUGAAAUAGCAAUGAAAAUUUAAGCAAAAUACAGCAAAGAUAAACUCUUGUACCUCUUGCAUCAUGGUUUAGCAAGAAAAACCAAGCAUAAUGAACUUAAGCUUGCCCCCCCGAAACCCAUGCGAGCUACUUGCGAGCAGCUACUUCUGAGCGAACCCGUCUCUGUUGCAAAAGAGUGGGAUGACUCGCUAGUAGAGGUGAAAAGCCAACCGAGCUGGGUGAUAGCUGGUUGCCUGUGAAUCGAAUUUAAGUUCACCCCUAAUCCUCCUCCAAGGCCCCCUAACUACACCCUCAUGAAACGGAUCAGGGGUUAUUUAAAGGAGGUACAGCUCCUUUAAAAAAGAACACAACCUCCCCUAGAGGAUAAUCACUAAACAAUCAAACUUCAACCUGUGGGCCUUCAAGCAGCCAUCAACAAAGAAUGCGUCAAAGCUCAACACCAAAAAAAUCCGAAUACAAUAUGACUCCCUUAUCACCAACAGGCUAACCUAUCUCAAUAGGAGAAUCAAUGCUAAAACGAGUAACUAGGAUAAACCCUCUCAGGCGCAAGCUUACACCUCCAUUAUUAACAGGCCAUCAAAAUACUUCAACCUUCACAAGACCAAGUAUUAAACUAACUCUGUUAACCCAACCCAGGAGCGCCAACCAGAAAGAUUAAAACCUGUAAAAGGAACUAGGCAAACCAGAGGCCCGACUGUUUACCAAAAACAUAGCCUUCAGCCCAACAAGUAUUGAAGGUGAUGCCUGCCCAGUGACAUCACGUUUAACGGCCGCGGUAUCCUAACCGUGCAAAGGUAGCGCAAUCAAUUGUCUCAUAAAUCGAGACCUGUAUGAAUGGCUAAACGAGGUCUCAACUGUCUCUUACAGGCAAUCAGUGAAACUGAUCUUCCCGUGAAAAAGCAGGAAUAACCACAUAAGACGAGAAGACCCUGUGGAACUUUAAAAUCAACGGCCACCCUAAAAAAACCAAGCCUAUCAGGCACACCACCCCAUAAACAUCUGGCCCGUAUUUUUUGGUUGGGGCGACCUUGGAGAAAAACAAAACCUCCAAAAAUAAGACCACCCAUCUUAACCAAGAGCAACCCCUCAACGUACUAACAGUAACCAGACCCAGUACACCUGAGCAAUGGACCAAGCUACCCCAGGGAUAACAGCGCAAUCUCCUCCAAGAGCCCAUAUCGCCGAGGAGGUUUACGACCUCGAUGUUGGAUCAGGACAUCCUAAUGGUGCAGCCGCUAUUAAGGGUUCGUUUGUUCAACGAUUAAUAGUCCUACGUGAUCUGAGUUCAGACCGGAGCAAUCCAGGUCGGUUUCUAUCUAUGACUAACUCUUCCCAGUACGAAAGGACCGAAAGAGUAAGGCCAAUACCACAAGCACGCCUUCCCUAUAAGUAAUGAACCCAACUAAAUUACCAAAAGGACAUCCACCCCAAUCCUAGAAAAGGACCC